Molecule: ribosomal RNA, 254 nt
Filed under: uncultured bacterium
Lineage: Bacteria
Description: partial 16S ribosomal RNA
Rfam family: Bacterial small subunit ribosomal RNA
Source: RNAcentral
UACGUAGGGUCCGAGCGUUGUCCGGAAUUACUGGGCGUAAAGAGCUCGUAGGUGGUUUGUCGCGUUGUUCGUCGAAAACUCACAGCUUAACUGUGGGCGUGCGGGCGAUACGGGCAGACUUGAGUACUGCAGGGGAGACUGGAAUUCCUGGUGUAGCGGUGGAAUGCGCAGAUAUCAGGAGGAACACCGGUGGCGAAGGCGGGUCUCUGGGCAGUAACUGACGCUGAGGAGCGAAAGCGUGGGGAGCGAACAGG